Molecule: long non-coding RNA, 277 nt
Filed under: Elaeis guineensis (African oil palm)
Lineage: Eukaryota; Viridiplantae; Streptophyta; Magnoliopsida; Arecales; Arecaceae
Description: long non-coding RNA (EGUI_LNC056223)
Source: RNAcentral
GUUAUGUUUUUGUGAAAUGAAUGGGUAUAUUCUUGAUUGAAUGAGUGAAUGACUAAUUGAUUGUCAUUAAAUGAUUGAAUGAAUAAUUAAUUGACUUAUAGUUGAUUAUCAUGAUAAAUGAAUGUACUUAAAUCAAAGGGGAAGAAAUUAAGAUAGAAAAUUUUAUUAACCCAUUUUGAUUAUGACAAAAAGAUGGAGAAAUUAGAAGAAAUUGGGAGAAGUUAAGAGAGUAUAGUAGAAAUCAAGAGCAAAUUUAAAAAUAUUGCUUUUCUACAUA